Molecule: ribosomal RNA, 540 nt
Filed under: Ceratitis fasciventris
Lineage: Eukaryota; Metazoa; Arthropoda; Insecta; Diptera; Tephritidae
Description: partial 16S ribosomal RNA
Rfam family: Bacterial large subunit ribosomal RNA (bases 391-540)
Source: RNAcentral
GUCUUUUUGAGUUAUUUUUAAAGUCUGACCUGCCCACUGAAUAUUUUUAAAUGGCCGCAGUAUUCUAACUGUGCAAAGGUAGCAUAAUCAUUAGUCUUUUAAUUGAAGGCUGGUAUGAACGGUUGGACGAAGUAUAAGCUGUUUCAUAUAAAAUUAUAUUAGAAUUUUAUAUUUUAGUUAAAAAGCUAAAAUAUUAUUAAAAGACGAGAAGACCCUAUAAAUCUUUAUAUUUAAUAUUAUUCAAAUUUUUUUGAUUAAUUUUAUUUUUAUAAUAUUAAAUAUUUUGUUGGGGUGAUAUUAAAAUUUAAUAAACUUUUAAUUUUGAAUUAGAACAUUAAUUUAUGAAUAGUUGAUCCAUUAUUAAUGAUUAUAAGAUUAAGUUACUUUAGGGAUAACAGCGUAAUUUUUUUUGAGAGUUCAUAUCGACAAAAAAGUUUGCGACCUCGAUGUUGGAUUAAGAUAUAUAUUUAGGUGUAGCCGUUUAAAUAUUAAGUCUGUUCGACUUUUAAAUUCUUACAUGAUCUGAGUUCAAACCCGGAG